GACGAACGCUGGCGGCGCGCUUAACACAUGCAAGUCGAGCGAAGCGGCGGUCGGGUGAGUAACACGUGAGUAAUCUGCCUAAGACAUUGGGAUAGCCUCGGGAAACCGGGAUUAAUACCAAAUGGUCUAAGAUGGACUCGCGUCACCUUAGCUAGUUGGUGAGGUAACGGCCCACCAAGGCGACGAUGGGUAGCCGGCAUAUGAGGGUAAGAGGCCGCGAUGGAGCUGAGAGACGAGCCAACCGCUGCGGGAGGCAGCAGUGGGGGAUAUUGCGCAGGGGGGGGAGCUCUGAUGCAGCAAAGCCGUGUGAACGAAGAGGACUUUCGAGUCGUAAAGUGCUUUUAAAUAAUAAGCGGUACCAUUAGAAAAAGCCCCGGCUAACUACGUGCCAGCAGCCGCGGUAAUUC
RNAcentral lists this ribosomal RNA (407 nucleotides) under uncultured bacterium. RNAcentral's name for it is "partial 16S ribosomal RNA". It matches the Rfam family "Bacterial small subunit ribosomal RNA", at positions 28 to 526 of the family's 1533-position model. The record is from RNAcentral.